Molecule: microRNA, 23 nt
Filed under: Python bivittatus (Burmese python)
Lineage: Eukaryota; Metazoa; Chordata; Lepidosauria; Squamata; Pythonidae
Description: Pbv-Mir-430-o37_3p (mature (guide))
Source: RNAcentral
AAAGUGCUUCAUUGUUUGGGUGA